UACUAUUUUCUUAAAAAUAGUGGGAGGAUGAAAUCAAAGAGAAAUCUUCAAAGAACAACGAGUCACAAGAUCUGUAUAACCUAUUUAAGAUGAGCCAGUAUAUAUAGUAAAUCCUCCACCUCAUAGAUCUAGUAGGAUCUCCCAUCCUUUAGAAAGGUACUUGAUAUUCUUAUAAAGACUUUAGAAAAAAUAUUUCUCAAGGA
Molecule: long non-coding RNA, 203 nt
Filed under: Elaeis guineensis (African oil palm)
Lineage: Eukaryota; Viridiplantae; Streptophyta; Magnoliopsida; Arecales; Arecaceae
Description: long non-coding RNA (EGUI_LNC080133)
Source: RNAcentral